AAUAAUACCCCGGUAGUCCACGCCGUAAACGAUGUCGAUUUGGAGGUUGUUCCCUUGAGGAGUGGCUUCCGGAGCUAACGCGUUAAAUCGACCGCCUGGGGAGUACGGCCGCAAGGUUAAAACUCAAAUGAAUUGACGGGGGCCCGCACAAGCGGUGGAGCAUGUGGUUUAAUUCGAUGCAACGCGAAGAACCUUACCUACUCUUGACAUCCAGAAAACUUUCCAGAGAUGGAUUGGUGCCUUCGGGAACUCUGAGACAGGUGCUGCAUGGCUGUCGUCAGCUCGUGUUGUGAAAUGUUGGGUUAAGUCCCGCAACGAGCGCAACCCUUAUCCUUUGUUGCCAGCGGUUCGGCCGGGAACUCAAAGGAGACUGCCAGUGAUAAACUGGAGGAAGGUGGGGAUGACGUCAAGUCAUCAUGGCCCUUACGAGUAGGGCUACACACGUGCUACAAUGGCAUAUACAAAGAGAAGCGACCUCGCGAGAGCAAGCGGACCUCAUAAAGUAUGUCGUAGUCCGGAUUGGAGUCUGCAACUCGACU
This 539-nucleotide ribosomal RNA is filed under the name uncultured bacterium. RNAcentral's name for it is "bacterial SSU rRNA". It matches the Rfam family "Bacterial small subunit ribosomal RNA", at positions 777 to 1317 of the family's 1533-position model. The record is from RNAcentral.